CCUACGGGAGGCAGCAGUAGGGAAUCUUCCACAAUGGGCGAAAGCCUGAUGCAGCAACGCCGCGUGGGUGAAGAAGGUCUUCGGAUCGUAAAACUCUGUUGGUAGAGAAGAAAGGGCGUGAGAGUAACUGUUCACGUUUCGACGGUAUCUAACCAGAAAGCCACGGCUAACUACGUGCCAGCAGCCGCGGUAAUACGUAGGUGGCAAGCGUUAUCCGGGUUUAUUGGGCGUAAAGGGAACGCAGGCGGUCUGUUAAGUCUGAUGUGAAAGCCUUCGGCUUAACGGGAGAAGUGCCUUUGAAACUGGGAGACUUGAGUGUAGAAGAGGAGAGUGGAAUGCAAUGUGUAGCGGUGAAAUGCGUAGAUAUAUGGAAGAACACCAGUGGCGAAAGCG
RNAcentral lists this ribosomal RNA (393 nucleotides) under uncultured bacterium. RNAcentral describes it as "partial 16S ribosomal RNA". It matches the Rfam family "Bacterial small subunit ribosomal RNA", at positions 338 to 723 of the family's 1533-position model. The record is from RNAcentral.